Molecule: ribosomal RNA, 247 nt
Filed under: uncultured bacterium
Lineage: Bacteria
Description: partial 16S ribosomal RNA
Rfam family: Bacterial small subunit ribosomal RNA
Source: RNAcentral
CACGCCCUAAACGAUGUCUACUAGUUGUUGGGAAGGGAGACCUUCUUAGUAACGCAGCUAACGCGUGAAGUAGACCGCCUGGGGAGUACGGUCGCAAGAUUAAAACUCAAAGGAAUUGACGGGGGCCCGCACAAGCGGUGGAUGAUGUGGAUUAAUUCGAUGCAACGCGAAAAACCUUACCUACCCUUGACAUGUCUGGAACCUCGCAGAGACGCGGGGGUGCCUUCGGGAGCCAGAACACAGGUGC